This 253-nucleotide ribosomal RNA is filed under the name uncultured prokaryote. RNAcentral describes it as "partial 16S ribosomal RNA". It matches the Rfam family "Bacterial small subunit ribosomal RNA", at positions 525 to 777 of the family's 1533-position model. The record is from RNAcentral.
ACGAACCGUGCGAACGUUGUUCGGAAUCACUGGGCUUAAAGGGCGCGUAGGCGGCUCCGCCAGUCGGGGGUGAAAUCCCACGGCCUAACCGUGGAAGUGCCUCCGAUACUGCGGGGCUGGAGGGAGGUAGGGGCAGCGGGAACUUCGGGUGGAGCGGUGAAAUGCGUUGAUAUCCGAAGGAACGCCGGUGGCGAAAGCGCGCUGCUGGACCUCUUCUGACGCUGAGGCGCGAAAGCCAGGGGAGCAAACGGGA